GAACUUUUGGUGUCGGAGUUACUAUUCACGUAUACGACACUAUUCACGUAUACUGUACUAUUCACGAAUAUGGCACUAUUCAUCGAAAAAUGAAAAAUUUUCUUUUCGUCCAAAAUAUCUAUUGUGGAUACUAGCUUUGAUUGUAUCCAUGUUUUGAUCAUUCUUGAAUUUUACACCACUAUGAUUAUUUUUGAGGUAUUUUUGGACGUGGAUAAAACGAAGUACGAAUCCUUAAUCCUUAAUCCUUGUCAUUUUGUUUCACUGGAUUCGUUUCUUUUAAAAAAUAUAUAUAUAUAUUUUUCAUCAUCCUCAGUCUUAAAUGAUGAUAUUAUUGAAUAUCUUUGGCCUGUAGUGCAAAGAUGAAUGAUUUCUAAUGAAUAUCUUUGGCCUGUAGUGCAAAGAUGAAUGAUUUCUGAUGAAUAUCUUUGGCCCGUAGUGCAAAGAUGAACAGGUGUUUAGAUGAACAUGACCAACUGGUGAAUGUCCUUGGCAUGUAGUGCAAGGAUGAAUAUAUGAUUCCAGAUAUAUAUUGAUUGAUGUUACAGGGAUAAAAAUAUUG
RNAcentral lists this long non-coding RNA (559 nucleotides) under Panax ginseng (ginseng). RNAcentral describes it as "long non-coding RNA (PGIN_LNC019192)". Lineage: Eukaryota; Viridiplantae; Streptophyta; Magnoliopsida; Apiales; Araliaceae. The record is from RNAcentral.